UAAGGCCGAAGCUUGCAAGCAAAGAUGACAAGGGCAUAGGCGAGCUUCUCCGGCCUUGGGUACCAAAGCUCAACAUCUUCCAAGGCAUGGCUGGUGCAGAAGAAGAGGAUGUUUGAUACCUUCGGGCUUACGAAUCAGCACAAAGAUGAAUGCCAUUGUCGAGACCGAAAGGUCACGAACAGGUGUUAGGAGGUGGAAGGCUUGGCGGCUACCAUUUGCUUCCCCAUGUCACGACCACUAGGCUUGGGUACACUCUUGAGCGACUGCUCCUGCCGAUGAUGCAUGAUCUGUUCAAGGCCAUUCCGCA
This 307-nucleotide long non-coding RNA is filed under the name Prunus persica (peach). RNAcentral's name for it is "long non-coding RNA (PPER_LNC001074)". Lineage: Eukaryota; Viridiplantae; Streptophyta; Magnoliopsida; Rosales; Rosaceae. The record is from RNAcentral.